RNAcentral lists this transfer RNA (71 nucleotides) under Psittacara brevipes (Socorro parakeet). RNAcentral describes it as "tRNA-Val". The record is from RNAcentral. Lineage: Eukaryota; Metazoa; Chordata; Aves; Psittaciformes; Psittacidae. RNAcentral also lists the same sequence under 2 other names.
CAGGGCGUAGCUACAACAUAAAGCAUUCAGCUUACACCUGAAAGAUAUCUGCUACCCCCAGAUCACCCUGA